Non-coding RNA from Anolis sagrei ordinatus, 5196 nucleotides. The record is from RefSeq and is a predicted model, not a curated record. NCBI's taxonomy places the organism in Eukaryota, Metazoa, Chordata, Lepidosauria, Squamata, Anolidae.
AGACCUACAACAACCCAGUGAUUCCGGCCAUGAAAGCCUUCGACAAUGCGUUAUGUACAGUAUAUAGCUGCAUUAUAUGGAUCUUCACUGAGCAUGCAAUACACGCCAAACUGCAUUUAUACGGCAGUGUAGAUUCAGCUUCUGGAGAGGAAACUCACAGUGGUUUUGCCAUCCCUAGUAUUUGUUGAUGGUUUCCCAUCUAAGUACUAACCAGGACCGACCCUGCUUAGCUUUCCAUUUCAGAAAGGUGAAACUUUUGGGGUCUUUAGGGCAGUUGGUGGUCUGCUGCAUCCCCAAGAAAAAGGAGCCCAUUCAUCUGGGAUUUGGAAGACUUUUCACAAAGGGUUCUCCCGGUUAUGUGUUUAUGCAGUCGCCUGAAGGCAAUGCUUUUAAGACUGACAGCAGGGAGGGGGGGAUCCAUGAUGCCAGUCAAAGCCUAAGAGCCCCGUGGGAGGGCAGGGAGAAGGUCAACCCCGGUCUCCCAGGCCAGGCUGUCUCUCCCUGGGCCCCUUUGGGAGGGCAGAUCUAAUCAGGUCCCCCUGCUUGGCCCUCCUUCCUCCAAGGAAGGGAAGGGGCCAGGCCGCUGGAGGAGGGUGGCAAAUGCCCAGAGUGAGGAGGGCUCUCUUUCAUGUUGGAACUGAGAUGAGAUGAACCGGACACAGCCUCUUCCUAUUGCGAAGGUGUCAGAAAGCAGCCAGCUGGUAGACCACAGCUUUUCCCCACUGCUUGCAGAUCAGAAUCGUUUGAUACACGUUUGAGGCAUUGCCAAGGCCAGGGAGGUGCAAGAGAAGAAGAUUUGCCCAUCACUCCUAGAUGCGUAAAGGCGUGGAAGUUGCCUAGCUCAUGCUGGGCUUGGAUUUAUUUCAGAGUCACUACCCAACCCCUCCUCGGAUCCAUUCCAAUGAACUAUGCCGAUGGAGCAGGAAUUCUCACCACUCCCUUUUACUCGAGAGGAAGUCCCAAAGUUACUUCCGAAAGCUGGAACAGUCGGAAUUGGCUCAAGACAUUUUACUGUGUGGGGCAAAGAGAAUGUACAAAAAGUGGAUAGAGCUGCAGAUGUGACAGUACUACCACCACAUCUGAAAACAGAAUGUGCUUUGCCAAUUUCCUGUUCACAUUGACUAUCUACAGGGAUCCUAAGAAAAUGGCUUACAGGAAGUCACCAGCAUCCUCUCCUUUGUUUCCUUGGAACCAAAGCACAAUAUUAACACAGGCAAUGCAGGCAACAACUUGAAGUUUCCCUUUUGUUGUAAAAACCGUAAUAAUUAAAAAUUGAUGCCACAACAUACACUGGAAUGCAGAAAACAAACAGGGGUCAGAACCAGCUGACCCAAGCCUGAAAGCAUAUAAGAUUUCCCAAGAAGCUGAUUGGACUUCAGUUGAGAAGAGACCAGUCAAGAAGGGAUGGUGAACGUAACAUUUGACUCUCCAGACAUUUUGAAGUACUAUACUUCCCAGCCAGCAUGGAAAAUGACUGCUAAUUGGAACCCUGGCAUCACAUUUCCCUGGUGAAUGAUGCCAGCCAUGGAGAGGGAAUGAAGAAAUGGCCAUCUCAUCAUUCUGCUCGCCUGUCAAGGAGAUGUGGAAAUGUGCUGGCAUUCCAGCUGAAGACAUCAUUAUGAGUGAGAAAAUGCUCAAGGCCCUUUUUCAAAGUGGGUGCCGAAAGAGAUGCUUUCCUUCUUUGACUUCGGGGAAGGCUGAGAGCUGCCCCAGAAGACAGGCAUUGAGAGGAUGCACUACAAAAUAUGAUGAUGAAGAAAUCCAUAACAAAGGACAACCAGCCUGCAGUGAGAGAAUUCUAAGCAGCACACACAUGGCAGAAGUGAUUUUAAUAUCAGACAGGUUUAGUUUCCUAAUCUUUGCUAUUCAUAUUGACGGGUAGCUUCAUAUGGUUUUAGAGAUUUGUAUCUAUUAAGACAUGCUGCAGUGUUCCUACAACCUGGGAACAAGUGUGCUGGAGAUCAGUGUUCUUCUUCCUCUGUGAUAAAAAUUGAUAUGAACUGUUUUAAACUACUAGCAGAUAAUUACUCUGAACACUCAAUAAAGAAAGCUAUAUCUUUAGAGCCUUCCUUUAUCUUUUUUUUAAAAAAAAUUCACUAUCCCCCCCUCUUUUGUUUCUUUGAUUACUUGGAGCCUUGUAAUCAAACUCAGCUUAGUUUCAGGACCCUUGGGGCAGUAUCUCUUAGUUCCCUGUCAAGCUGCGUUGCAAAACAAUCAAUCUUGCUCUGGCUCUCUCUUGGCGGAAGUGCCACGACACCAGGAGUGCAAUGCUUUGCUCUUGCCAUGAAGCCUCAAUGACAAAAGUUUUUAUAAGAAGCUGACUGUAUUUAGGGUUAUGAAUAUGCAAUGACUCUCAUUAGUAUUGAAGCACGGGAGCAAGGGCUGACAUCUCCCCUCCGCCACUUUGAGCUGCGGCAGAAUUGUCUAAUGAAUUGUCUUGCUCUUUCUCUUGCACAGGCUUUCUCUGUUGUGGCUCCCAGUUCCAAGGGGAGUUGCCCAGUUUGAGCAUACUAUUGACUGCAGAAAUUAAUUGCCAAGAACUGCUCUUGAUUUUGUUAAACAAUCUUGUGACAGUGUUUAAAUUGUCAAAACAGAAAAUCAUUCCACUCCACGCGAGAUAAACUCAACCUGAGGGAGGGGACCCGUAUGUCAAUUAAUUUGGACACACACUUUGCUCAUAUGUACAUGUGUACAAUGCAAAGAUUUACAUAUUUCUAUGUAUAUGGGGAAAUCCACACAGACAGGCAAUUCCCCCCACUCCCAAAACCUCCUUUAAGAUCAACACUGGGUGUAAUCAAGUCAUACAUAUCUGGCAUUCUAUUGGUUAGGCACUUUGUCUUCUCAGUAGAACAAAGCAGGAUGACAGAAUGAUCUCCAAAUGGAAGCUAUUCAUACAGCACAAAGCUAUUUUGUGAACUCUUCAGGACUCUUUCUCACACAUUCCUCCCUUUCCCAUCCUAGUCCCUACCCAACAUUUAGUGUUUUACAUACACAAUCUAACACAAAUGUGAUAUCAAUAACCUUGUGUACCAGGAUUUUUGUUCCUGGGUUAUAAAUGUCAUUUCCUAAUUGGUUCUAUCAUAAAAGCAUGGAAAAGUUUAUUAAACUGUAAAACCUUUGUUUUUGCAGGACAUCCUGCAGCACAUUUUGCUAUAGUUUUUCAAUUAGUAUCUUAUCAAGUUGCAACCAAUUCAACAUACGAAAAAUAUGAAGUUUCUAGAGUAUAACAACUACUUUCAAAGUACGUGCCACACAAUUUAAUAGGAAUAACACUUUCAAACUAGGAAUAUAUAUUUUUUUCCAAAUUUUGUUACAUAGUGUAAUAAUAACUGAAACUGAUAAAGAUACCUGCCUUGAUGUGUAGUAUACGAGAAGCAAAACAUGGUCAGCUACAUGUCUCAGCUGGAUAAAUUAAAUAAUAGUAAUAAUAAUAAUAAUAAUAAUAAUAAUAAUAAUAACAACAACAACUUAAUUUUUGUACCUCCCCCCCCCUCCAUCUCCUUGAAGGGACUCAGGGUGGCUUACAUAUGGCACAAUAUGCCUAAAACAACGUAAAAUAGACACACAAUACAGUACAAGAUAAAACUAAUAACAUAUCAAACAAUAAUUUAAGUUCAUAAAAAACAGCGCCCAACUGUCGUAAAACACGGUCAACUGUAGACAGGAACAAGGGAAUAUGGUAGUGCAAGUUGUAGUUAAUAAACUAGGGCAUGGGACAAAAAUACAGUGCUUUGUCAUUAAUUGCGAACCAUCGGGUCUAGAAGAGUGGUUCUAAACCUGUGGGUCCCCAAGUGUUAUGGCUACAACUCCCAGAAAUCCCAGCCAGUUUAGCAGCUGUUAGGACUCCUGGGAAUUAAAGGCCAAAACAUCUGGGGACCCACAGGUUGAGAACCACUGGGCUAGACAUUCUCAAAUUCUUCAAUUCUUGUUAUAGACCCAUUUCCUUUCUCUCUCUCUCCCUUUAAAAUAUAGAGAAAGUUUUUGCAUGCUGCACAGAUAGGAAAAACUCAAAAUGGAUAUGAGGGAAAAGUAGGAGGUGGAAUGGAAUUAAGAAUAUAGUCUUUACGGGAAAGCAAUCAGUAUUGAUGCACCUUAUUUCACUGGAUAUACAGUGAAACUAGUUAUGCUAGAAGAAGAAAGAGCUGUUAAUGUCAAUACACUGGGGAUGGGGAGGGAAAAUAAGAUCUUUGCUUGUCUCUCGCCCCAACUUUUUCAGUGUUCAGAUUCAUAUUUCUAUCUUCUGUAGAACCUCCAUAUAGAUGAGAACAGUUGAAGAACAAACACAGUUCUGACAAAAGUGGUGCAAGUAUCAUACAUCAAACACUUGUUACCUCACUUGGCCUUAGGAAUUGCACAUGACUAAGAACAAGGCAGUGAUAAAAUCUGAAGAAAGAUGAAACCAAUCUGGGCCUUUUUAAAGACCAUCAAUCAUUCUGUGCAACCAUGAUAUUAUUAGCUAAAACUGAGCCUUGUUCUCCUGUUUAAUGGACAUUGUAAACCCCAUCCCAUUUCUAUCCUGAGACCAAUACUACCAUGGGAAAUCAUUUUUAUGGGCAAUAUCUUCAUAGGGAACCAAUCAGAUCUAAUCAGAUAACAAGCUACUGAAUUAUUCAGUAUUCUCCCUAAAUUUGCAUUCUAGCUGUUCUUUGCUGUCAGUCCCUACUUCUAGAAGUAUGUGAAUUUUUGCUCCUCUACCCAUUAUGUUAAGAAGACAGUGUGAUGUGGGGAUUUUUCAUAAUCUGUAUAUUCUAUAACUAUCAUUGGCUUGUAUGCGUGGUUACCACAUGUGAAUAAUCAUGUAAAAAUAUUUGGUUCCUGUUUUUUAAUACACUGCUAUUAAAUUCUUACCAUUCCCAAAUGUAAAACCAGCAGGCCCAAGCACAGGAAAGUGAAAGCAUUGUUUUGGAUGUGUAAAAUGUUAAAAUGUACAGUACUAUGCAAAUAAUCACCAGCAUUCCUGAUAGAUAUUUCUGUGAAUCUGGAAUUUUAUUAUGUGAAAAUAUUGCAGUUUUAAUUGCAAAUCUUGGUAGAGAUGAUUUGAAGCCUGUAAUUAGCACAUAAAUUCCAGACUUUGUGACUAGUAUGAAAACAUAUAGUAUUUAUGGAAUGAUUAUCUAAAUAUAAUGCAGUGUUUUCUGUUUUUAGUGAAUACUGUAAAGUCUGAUUUAAUAAAGAGAAGAACUGCUAUUUCAUGGA